This 608-nucleotide ribosomal RNA is filed under the name uncultured bacterium. Its description in RNAcentral is "bacterial SSU rRNA". It matches the Rfam family "Bacterial small subunit ribosomal RNA", at positions 234 to 860 of the family's 1533-position model. The record is from RNAcentral.
CGUUCGAUUAGCUUGUUGGUGAGGUAACGGCUCACCAAGGCGAUGAUCGAUAGCUGGUCUGAGAGGAUGAUCAGCCACAUUGGGACUGAGACACGGCCCAAACUCCUACGGGAGGCAGCAGUGGGGAAUAUUGGACAAUGGGCGCAAGCCUGAUCCAGCCAUGCCGCGUGAGUGAUGAAGGCCCUAGGGUUGUAAAGCUCUUUUGUGCGGGAAGAUAAUGACGGUACCGCAAGAAUAAGCCCCGGCUAACUUCGUGCCAGCAGCCGCGGUAAUACGAAGGGGGCUAGCGUUGCUCGGAAUCACUGGGCGUAAAGGGUGCGUAGGCGGGUUCUUAAGUCAGGGGUGAAAUCCUGGAGCUCAACUCCAGAACUGCCUUUGAUACUGAGAGUCUUGAGUACGGGAGAGGUGAGUGGAACUGCGAGUGUAGAGGUGAAAUUCGUAGAUAUUCGCAAGAACACCAGUGGCGAAGGCGGCUCACUGGCCCGUUACUGACGCUGAGGCGCGAAAGCGUGGGGAGCAAACAGGAUUAGAUACCCUGGUAGUCCACGCCGUAAACGAUGAGUGCUAGUUGUCGGGCGGCAUGCCGUUCGGUGACGCAGCUAACGCAU